Molecule: ribosomal RNA, 305 nt
Filed under: uncultured bacterium
Lineage: Bacteria
Description: bacterial SSU rRNA
Rfam family: Bacterial small subunit ribosomal RNA
Source: RNAcentral
GGAGGCCUACGGGAGGCAGCAGUGAGGAAUAUUGGUCAAUGGACGCAAGUCUGAACCAGCCAAGUAGCGUGCAGGAUGACGGCCCUCCGGGUUGUAAACUGCUUUUAGUUGGGAAUAAAAGGGGGCUCGUGAGCCCCGUAUUGUAUGUACCAUCAGAAAAAGGACCGGCUAAUUCCGUGCCAGCAGCCGCGGUAAUACGGAAGGUCCGGGCGUUAUCCGGAUUUAUUGGGUUUAAAGGGAGCGUAGGCCGGCUUUUAAGUCAGAUGUGAAAACCACGGGCUCAACCUGUGGCCUGCAUUUGAAAC